Molecule: long non-coding RNA, 298 nt
Organism: Leopardus geoffroyi (Geoffroy's cat)
Lineage: Eukaryota; Metazoa; Chordata; Mammalia; Carnivora; Felidae
Exons: 2
Source: RefSeq, a predicted model, not a curated record
CCCUGGCAAAUGCAUUUUUAACAAACCCUCCAGGAAAGUCUGAUGUACACCAAAGUUUCAAGGCGGCAUUCAGAAGUGAGACAAAAUGGGAUGCACCAUGGAUCCAUGAAUCCUAGGAAGUUGUGUGACACUGGGUUAUGAGCUGCAUUAAAGAAAUGAGAAUUGGAAAUUGAUGCUGGAAUGUAUUUGAGUUAUCUUUGCAGCCACGGAUGGCUUUGAAUUAUAUAAUCAUGCUUUUCUGGUUCAUGUUUAUCUCCAUUGUUAAUUAAAAAUACUUAUUUUUCAAUUUGGAAUUGCA